This 728-nucleotide ribosomal RNA is filed under the name Streptomyces sp. A-201. RNAcentral's name for it is "bacterial SSU rRNA". It matches the Rfam family "Bacterial small subunit ribosomal RNA", at positions 308 to 1049 of the family's 1533-position model. The record is from RNAcentral. Lineage: Bacteria; Bacillati; Actinomycetota; Actinomycetes; Kitasatosporales; Streptomycetaceae.
CCACACUGGGACUGAGACACGGCCCAGACUCUACGGGAGGCAGCAGUGGGGAAUAUUGCACAAUGGGCGAAAGCCUGAUGCAGCGACGCCGCGUGAGGGAUGACGGCCUUCGGGUUGUAAACCUCUUUCAGCAGGGAAGAAGCGAAAGUGACGGUACCUGCAGAAGAAGCGCCGGCUAACUACGUGCCAGCAGCCGCGGUAAUACGUAGGGCGCAAGCGUUGUCCGGAAUUAUUGGGCGUAAAGAGCUCGUAGGCGGCUUGUCACGUCGGAUGUGAAAGCCCGGGGCUUAACCCCGGGUCUGCAUUCGAUACGGGCUAGCUAGAGUGUGGUAGGGGAGAUCGGAAUUCCUGGUGUAGCGGUGAAAUGCGCAGAUAUCAGGAGGAACACCGGUGGCGAAGGCGGAUCUCUGGGCCAUUACUGACGCUGAGGAGCGAAAGCGUGGGGAGCGAACAGGAUUAGAUACCCUGGUAGUCCACGCCGUAAACGUUGGGAACUAGGUGUUGGCGACAUUCCACGUCGUCGGUGCCGCAGCUAACGCAUUAAGUUCCCCGCCUGGGGAGUACGGCCGCAAGGCUAAAACUCAAAGGAAUUGACGGGGGCCCGCACAAGCAGCGGAGCAUGUGGCUUAAUUCGACGCAACGCGAAGAACCUUACCAAGGCUUGACAUAUACCGGAAAGCAUCAGAGAUGGUGCCCCCCUUGUGGUCGGUAUACAGGUGGUGCAUGGC